GAUGAACGCUGGCGGCGUGCCUAAUACAUGCAAGUCGAGCGAACAGACGAGGAGCUUGCUCCUCUGACGUUAACGGCGGACGGGUGAGUAACACGUGGAUAACCUACCUAUAAGACUGGGAUAACUUCGGGAAACCGGAGCUAAUACCGGAUAAUAUAUUGAACGGCAUGGUUCAAUAGUGAAAGACGGUUUUGCUGGCACUUAUAGAUGGAACCGGGCUGCAGUAGCUAGUUGGUAAGGUAACGGCCUACCAAGGCAACGAUGCGUAGCCGACCUGAGAGGGGGAUCGGCCACACUGGAACUGAGACACGGUCCAGACUCCUACGGGAGGCAGCAGUAGGGAAUCUUCCGCAAUGGGCGAAAGCCUGACGGAGCAACGCCGCGUGUGUGAUGAAGGUCUUCGGAUCGUAAAACUCUGUUAUUAGGGAAGAACAAAUGUGUAAGUAAAUAUGCACGUCUUGACGGUACCUAAUCAGAAAGCCACGGCUAACUACGUG
Molecule: ribosomal RNA, 497 nt
Filed under: uncultured bacterium
Lineage: Bacteria
Description: partial 16S ribosomal RNA
Rfam family: Bacterial small subunit ribosomal RNA
Source: RNAcentral